CAGCCGCCACGGUAAUACGGAGGGUGCAAGCGUUAAUCGGAAUUACUGGGCGUAAAGCGUGCGUAGGCGGUUCGUUAAGUCUGUUGUGAAAGCCCCGGGCUCAACCUGGGAAUGGCAAUGGAUACUGGCGAGCUAGAGUGUGUCAGAGGAUGGUGGAAUUCCCGGUGUAGCGGUGAAAUGCGUAGAGAUCGGGAGGAACAUCAGUGGCGAAGGCGGCCAUCUGGGACAACACUGACGCUGAGGCACGAAAGCGUGGGGAGCAAACAGGAUUAGAGACCCCCGUAGUCCCUGUCUCUUAUAA
RNAcentral lists this ribosomal RNA (301 nucleotides) under uncultured bacterium. RNAcentral describes it as "partial 16S ribosomal RNA". It matches the Rfam family "Bacterial small subunit ribosomal RNA", at positions 509 to 809 of the family's 1533-position model. The record is from RNAcentral.